CCCUGGUCUAUUCCUGCCGGCGGGGUGGCCUCUUGUUUGGUGGCUCUGAGGCCUGGCAGUCGCUGGCCUUCCUCUUUGGGGCUCGCCGUGGCCGCUGAGGUAGGCUGGUGGCGGAGGGCCCUGUCACAGCCUGUCCUGGCUCCUGAUGGGACGUCACAGGGUUGGGAUGGAGGCGGCUGGGACUCCCAUGGAGCACUUCUCCUGAAGUGCCCGGCAUUCCCCCCGUGUUGGAGCUGGCGCGGCUGCUGGAGGGUGCUGGGCCAGGGCCAGGAGCCUCGUCUUGUGGGGCAGCUCUGGGCUCUGAUGCAGCGGCAUCCCGUGCCCCAGCAGCAGGGGCGACGUUGAAGCC
RNAcentral lists this long non-coding RNA (349 nucleotides) under Gallus gallus (chicken). The record is from RNAcentral. Lineage: Eukaryota; Metazoa; Chordata; Aves; Galliformes; Phasianidae.